RNAcentral lists this ribosomal RNA (403 nucleotides) under Verrucomicrobiota bacterium. Its description in RNAcentral is "Verrucomicrobia bacterium partial 16S ribosomal RNA". It matches the Rfam family "Bacterial small subunit ribosomal RNA", at positions 355 to 776 of the family's 1533-position model. Lineage: Bacteria; Pseudomonadati; Verrucomicrobiota. The record is from RNAcentral.
UGGGGAAUCUUGCGCAAUGGGGGAAACCCUGAUGCAGCGACGCCGCGUGAUUUAGAAGGCCUUCGGGUUGUAAAAAUCUUUUCUAUGGGAAGAAAAUGACAGUACCAUAGGAAUAAGGACCGGCUAAUUACGUGCCAGCAGCCGCGGUAAUACGUAAGGUCCGAGCGUUGUCCGGAAUUAUUGGGCGUAAAGAGCUUGUAGGCGGUUCGUCGCGUCUGGUGUGAAAGCCCAUCGCUUAACGGUGGGUUUGCGCCGGGUACGGGCGGGCUAGAGUGCAGUAGGGGAGACUGGAAUUCCCGGUGUAACGGUGGAAUGUGUAGAUAUCGGGAAGAACACCAAUGGCGAAGGCAGGUCUCUGGGCUGUUACUGACGCUGAGAAGCGAAAGCGUGGGGAGCGAACAGG